This is a long non-coding RNA of Rhopalosiphum maidis (corn leaf aphid), 957 nucleotides long. RefSeq lists it as uncharacterized. The record is from RefSeq and is a predicted model, not a curated record. Lineage: Eukaryota; Metazoa; Arthropoda; Insecta; Hemiptera; Aphididae. The transcript has 3 exons.
GUGCUCAGUGCUCACUUGUAAGUGUUACUCUACUAUAGCAAAAUAGUACUAUCCGACGUCGUAUAUAGACAUAUAUAGUGUUUGCUGUUAGUCUUUAGUUAUUAAUCUUCUAUGUCUUAGUCAUUAGUCAAUAAUCAGCGUGCAGACUGUACAGAAAAGAAUAAAGAUGUACAUUUUUUUCUUUCUUAAUCUGUGGUAUAGACCAGACAGCAGUUAAGUGUUGACUAUCGAGACCACACAUACAUUUUUAAGUGAAAGAAUAUACUACAAAGCCGACAAACGAUUUGAAGAAAGUUUUCAUACAGAAAUGGAUUUAUUGAUUGAUGUUUUGCUACAAGGAAAAGGAAAUACAAACAAUGGUAACACUACAAGGUUGUUUUUAAAAACCUAGAAAAGUGCACUGAAAUAAUUGGGGUUCAUUUUACAUGGCUGAAAUAUAAUUGAUAAUGGAUGUGAAAACAAUUCAAUUACAUUUGAUGAAUAUACUUUGGCUACAACUACAUUGUUUGUUGGUCUUUAUCCUUGGUGCUGUGUACAACAGAAAAUAAUUUCAAUAUGGAACAGUUUCUUCAUUUAUAUUGAGAAUAAACAUUGUCAACAUUUCAGAUACUCCCUUCUUUUAUGUAUUCAUAAGAAUUAAUGUAGAAUUGAUUAUUAUUUGUUUUCAAUCGGUGAGAAAGUAGACAAACUGUGAAUGUGGAAAGGUUCAAACAAUAGCUCAUCUUUUACCAUGCUACAACUGCCCAAUGUGAUAUAAGAUUUGGAAUCUGCAAACAAGGCUAUAGAGGUAGCAGAGUACUGAAGUUGUACAAUAUAAAAACACUAUUUUAUAUGUUACCUUUACUAUACCAUAUAAUGUAUAUUAUUAAUAAGUUUAUUGUAAUUUUAUAUUUGUUGACUUUAAAUCAUGUUUUUUUUUAAUACUUUAAAUUUGAUCUGUCAUUCCUAACUCGGCAU